RNAcentral lists this ribosomal RNA (681 nucleotides) under Triticum aestivum (bread wheat). RNAcentral's name for it is "partial small subunit ribosomal RNA". The record is from RNAcentral. Lineage: Eukaryota; Viridiplantae; Streptophyta; Magnoliopsida; Poales; Poaceae.
AUGGCCCCGUCGCCCGUCGCCCCCGCCGCUCCACGCGACGGAGGCCAUCUCUCCCCUAUUUCCCUCUUCUCCCAUCCCACAGGGCAAGUGCGUGGCAGAGCAAGGAAGGACGACCGACAUCUCUCUCUUCUCCCUCGCCCCGCUGCACCUCACCACAGCCUCACGCUUCCAGACGCUCGCCUCGAAGGAGGCAGCCGCCUCAACCGUCUCCACGCCCAGUGGGGCGCGGGGAGCGGGCUGCUCUCGCUGCUCGACCGGGCGCUUACCGUCGAGGAGCAGUACUGCCGCCAGCCCGCCCAGGUGCAGCGCAAGGGCAUGGAGGCGGAGGGGUUUGGCAUAGAGGGGAUCUCGACGGGCGGGCACGAGACCUGCGUCACUGCGCCGUCCCCAUUCUGUGGCAGUGUAAUAAAGGAAUUCCAUGCAAAAUUCUGCACCAAGCAUGAGCCUUCAAAGUUAAGCAUAACAGUCUUUGAUGAUACAAUGAGAAGGAAAUUUAAGCCAACAAUGCUGCUGAUUGGUGGCUCUGCUGCCUCCAAUGCUGCUACUCUUGGAUCAUUACUCAAAAACUACAAUGAAGUUGUCGGCGGAGAAGAUCCAGUGAACCCAACUACAACAUUCCCCCUUUUCUUUAGAGAUGAAGGGACCAUUUGUACUCUCUCCGUGCCAUGCCUGCGUGCAUGA